This is a long non-coding RNA of Bufo bufo (common toad), 98 nucleotides long. RefSeq lists it as uncharacterized. The transcript is spliced from 3 exons. The record is from RefSeq and is a predicted model, not a curated record. Lineage: Eukaryota; Metazoa; Chordata; Amphibia; Anura; Bufonidae.
UUAACCCCUUGGCACACAGCCCCCUUUCACCUUCCUGAGACAGCCUCUUUUUCCAAAUCUGACAUGUUAUUUUAUGUGACAACUUUGGAAUGCUUUUA